UGCUCUCCAGUUUCACUUGGAAAAUAACUCAACCAUUCCCUGAAGCUGCGCUCCAAGAUAUGCAGCUUCAAGCUAGGGAGAAGGCAAAAUGAGAAAUCCAUGAUACCAAUCCAAAGAGGAUGGAGAAGUCACUGUGGGAUCUUGCUGCAGUGCUUCAAAGCACAGGAGCAGGAGUAAUCCACCUUCUUGAAAGGGAAUCUCCACCUCCUUUGCAAACUUGUCGAGGGACCUCUGAAGAUUAUUUAGAAAGACCAUUCAUAAGGACAAUUCAAACUACUAUUCAUAUCUCUCCAGCUAACAAUGAUUAAUUUGCUUAUGGGUGAGUGUACUGGGAAAUUCAGCUGAGAGUGAAUACUAUGGAGAAGCUGGAAAAACAAAGCAAUUCACAACAUGCAGGGGGUAAUGGUACCACAGCAGUGAAUGUGACAAAGUUAAUCUUCUAAAUCUACAGAAGGAAGAAAUUCCUUUUUCACAAAGUUCAUUGCCUAAACAAUGGAAAAAAAUAAGAUGGAGUCUACUGGAUUCUACAAAAGGAACAUGUUAGUCAGACCAAUGCAUCCUCAAUGGCACUCCCUCAUUGUUACUGCGGACACGCUAAUGUUAACCAGCCUGAUCUUUUCUUAGUUCAACA
Long non-coding RNA from Ornithorhynchus anatinus (platypus), 631 nucleotides. RefSeq lists it as uncharacterized. NCBI's taxonomy places the organism in Eukaryota, Metazoa, Chordata, Mammalia, Monotremata, Ornithorhynchidae. The record is from RefSeq and is a predicted model, not a curated record. The transcript has 4 exons.